RNAcentral lists this ribosomal RNA (2932 nucleotides) under Escherichia coli. Its description in RNAcentral is "23S ribosomal RNA". It matches the Rfam family "Bacterial large subunit ribosomal RNA". The record is from RNAcentral. Lineage: Bacteria; Pseudomonadati; Pseudomonadota; Gammaproteobacteria; Enterobacterales; Enterobacteriaceae.
GGGUUGUGAGGUUAAGCGACUAAGCGUACACGGUGGAUGCCCUGGCAGUCAGAGGCGAUGAAGGACGUGCUAAUCUGCGAUAAGCGUCGGUAAGGUGAUAUGAACCGUUAUAACCGGCGAUUUCCGAAUGGGGAAACCCAGUGUGAUUCGUCACACUAUCAUUAACUGAAUCCAUAGGUUAAUGAGGCGAACCGGGGGAACUGAAACAUCUAAGUACCCCGAGGAAAAGAAAUCAACCGAGAUUCCCCCAGUAGCGGCGAGCGAACGGGGAGCAGCCCAGAGCCUGAAUCAGUGUGUGUGUUAGUGGAAGCGUCUGGAAAGGCGCGCGAUACAGGGUGACAGCCCCGUACACAAAAAUGCACAUACUGUGAGCUCGAUGAGUAGGGCGGGACACGUGGUAUCCUGUCUGAAUAUGGGGGGACCAUCCUCCAAGGCUAAAUACUCCUGACUGACCGAUAGUGAACCAGUACCGUGAGGGAAAGGCGAAAAGAACCCCGGCGAGGGGAGUGAAAAAGAACCUGAAACCGUGUACGUACAAGCAGUGGGAGCACAGAGCAAUCUGUGUGACUGCGUACCUUUUGUAUAAUGGGUCAGCGACUUAUAUUCUGUAGCAAGGUUAACCGAAUAGGGGAGCCGAAGGGAAACCGAGUCUUAACUGGGCGUUAAGUUGCAGGGUAUAGACCCGAAACCCGGUGAUCUAGCCAUGGGCAGGUUGAAGGUUGGGUAACACUAACUGGAGGACCGAACCGACUAAUGUUGAAAAAUUAGCGGAUGACUUGUGGCUGGGGGUGAAAGGCCAAUCAAACCGGGAGAUAGCUGGUUCUCCCCGAAAGCUAUUUAGGUAGCGCCUCGUGAAUUCAUCUCCGGGGGUAGAGCACUGUUUCGGCAAGGGGGUCAUCCCGACUUACCAACCCGAUGCAAACUGCGAAUACCGGAGAAUGUUAUCACGGGAGACACACGGCGGGUGCUAACGUCCGUCGUGAAGAGGGAAACAACCCAGACCGCCAGCUAAGGUCCCAAAGUCAUGGUUAAGUGGGAAACGAUGUGGGAAGGCCCAGACAGCCAGGAUGUUGGCUUAGAAGCAGCCAUCAUUUAAAGAAAGCGUAAUAGCUCACUGGUCGAGUCGGCCUGCGCGGAAGAUGUAACGGGGCUAAACCAUGCACCGAAGCUGCGGCAGCGACGCUGAUGCGUUGUUGGGUAGGGGAGCGUUCUGUAAGCCUGUGAAGGUGUGCUGUGAGGUAUGCUGGAGGUAUCAGAAGUGCGAAUGCUGACAUAAGUAACGAUAAAGCGGGUGAAAAGCCCGCUCGCCGGAAGACCAAGGGUUCCUGUCCAACGUUAAUCGGGGCAGGGUGAGUCGACCCCUAAGGCGAGGCCGAAAGGCGUAGUCGAUGGGAAACAGGUUAAUAUUCCUGUACUUGGUGUUACUGCGAAGGGGGACGGAGAAGGCUAUGUUGGCCGGGCGACGGUUGUCCCGGUUUAAGCGUGUAGGCUGGUUUUCCAGGCAAAUCCGGAAAAUCAAGGCUGAGGCGUGAUGACGAGGCACUACGGUGCUGAAGCAACAAAUGCCCUGCUUCCAGGAAAAGCCUCUAAGCAUCAGGUAACAUCAAAUCGUACCCCAAACCGACACAGGUGGUCAGGUAGAGAAUACCAAGGCGCUUGAGAGAACUCGGGUGAAGGAACUAGGCAAAAUGGUGCCGUAACUUCGGGAGAAGGCACGCUGAUAUGUAGGUGAAGUCCCUCGCGGAUGGAGCUGAAAUCAGUCGAAGAUACCAGCUGGCUGCAACUGUUUAUUAAAAACACAGCACUGUGCAAACACGAAAGUGGACGUAUACGGUGUGACGCCUGCCCGGUGCCGGAAGGUUAAUUGAUGGGGUUAGCGCAAGCGAAGCUCUUGAUCGAAGCCCCGGUAAACGGCGGCCGUAACUAUAACGGUCCUAAGGUAGCGAAAUUCCUUGUCGGGUAAGUUCCGACCUGCACGAAUGGCGUAAUGAUGGCCAGGCUGUCUCCACCCGAGACUCAGUGAAAUUGAACUCGCUGUGAAGAUGCAGUGUACCCGCGGCAAGACGGAAAGACCCCGUGAACCUUUACUAUAGCUUGACACUGAACAUUGAGCCUUGAUGUGUAGGAUAGGUGGGAGGCUUAGAAGUGUGGACGCCAGUCUGCAUGGAGCCGACCUUGAAAUACCACCCUUUAAUGUUUGAUGUUCUAACGUUGACCCGUAAUCCGGGUUGCGGACAGUGUCUGGUGGGUAGUUUGACUGGGGCGGUCUCCUCCUAAAGAGUAACGGAGGAGCACGAAGGUUGGCUAAUCCUGGUCGGACAUCAGGAGGUUAGUGCAAUGGCAUAAGCCAGCUUGACUGCGAGCGUGACGGCGCGAGCAGGUGCGAAAGCAGGUCAUAGUGAUCCGGUGGUUCUGAAUGGAAGGGCCAUCGCUCAACGGAUAAAAGGUACUCCGGGGAUAACAGGCUGAUACCGCCCAAGAGUUCAUAUCGACGGCGGUGUUUGGCACCUCGAUGUCGGCUCAUCACAUCCUGGGGCUGAAGUAGGUCCCAAGGGUAUGGCUGUUCGCCAUUUAAAGUGGUACGCGAGCUGGGUUUAGAACGUCGUGAGACAGUUCGGUCCCUAUCUGCCGUGGGCGCUGGAGAACUGAGGGGGGCUGCUCCUAGUACGAGAGGACCGGAGUGGACGCAUCACUGGUGUUCGGGUUGUCAUGCCAAUGGCACUGCCCGGUAGCUAAAUGCGGAAGAGAUAAGUGCUGAAAGCAUCUAAGCACGAAACUUGCCCCGAGAUGAGUUCUCCCUGACCCUUUAAGGGUCCUGAAGGAACGUUGAAGACGACGACGUUGAUAGGCCGGGUGUGUAAGCGCAGCGAUGCGUUGAGCUAACCGGUACUAAUGAACCGUGAGGCUUAACCUUACAACGCCGAAGGUGUUU